RNAcentral lists this transfer RNA (115 nucleotides) under Lachnospiraceae bacterium. RNAcentral describes it as "tRNA-OTHER". It matches the Rfam family "tRNA". Rfam says of the family: Transfer RNA (tRNA) molecules are approximately 80 nucleotides in length. Their secondary structure includes four short double-helical elements and three loops (D, anti-codon, and T loops). Further hydrogen bonds mediate the characteristic L-shaped molecular structure. tRNAs have two regions of fundamental functional importance: the anti-codon, which is responsible for specific mRNA codon recognition, and the 3' end, to which the tRNAs corresponding amino acid is attached (by aminoacyl-tRNA synthetases). tRNAs cope with the degeneracy of the genetic code in two manners: having more than one tRNA (with a specific anti-codon) for a particular amino acid; and 'wobble' base-pairing, i.e. permitting non-standard base-pairing at the 3rd anti-codon position. Lineage: Bacteria; Bacillati; Bacillota; Clostridia; Lachnospirales; Lachnospiraceae. The record is from RNAcentral.
GGAGCCGUAGCUCAGUGGAUAGAGCGGUGUAAAGGAGCUUUGACAAAAGCUCGUACAGCAAUUUUACAUAUGGAGGACACCCCACAGGUCGCAGGUUCGAAUCCUGCCGGCUCCA